AUUGAACGCUGGCGGCAGGCCUAACACAUGCCAGUCGAGCGGAUGAAGGGAGCUUGCUCCUGGAUUCAGCGGCGGACGGGUGAGUAAUGCCUAGGAAUCUGCCUGGUAGUGGGGGAUAACGUCCGGAAACGGGCGCUAAUACCGCAUACGUCCUGAGGGAGAAAGUGGGGGAUCUUCGGACCUCACGCUAUCAGAUGAGCCUAUGUCGGAUUAGCUAGUUGGUGGGGUAAAGGCCUACCAAGGCGACGAUCCGUAACUGGUCUGAGAGGAUGAUCAGUCACACUGGAACUGAGACACGGUCCAGACUCCUACGGGAGGCAGCAGUGGGGAAUAUUCGACAAUGGGCGAAAGCCUGAUCCAGCCAUGCCGCGUGUGUGAAGAAGGUCUUCGGAUUGUAAAGCACUUCAAGUUGGGAGGAAGGGCAGUAAGUUAAUACCUUGCUGUUUUGACGGUACCAACAGAAUAAGCACCGGCUAACUUCGUG
This 484-nucleotide ribosomal RNA is filed under the name uncultured bacterium. RNAcentral describes it as "partial 16S ribosomal RNA". It matches the Rfam family "Bacterial small subunit ribosomal RNA", at positions 30 to 507 of the family's 1533-position model. The record is from RNAcentral.